Long non-coding RNA from Anguilla rostrata (American eel), 1306 nucleotides. RefSeq lists it as uncharacterized. The record is from RefSeq and is a predicted model, not a curated record. The transcript has 4 exons. Lineage: Eukaryota; Metazoa; Chordata; Actinopteri; Anguilliformes; Anguillidae.
CAGCAGUUGUAUUAUGCAGCAUCUGCAAAAUAGGAUUAUAAUUUACUGCCAUUUGUCUUAUUUUUCCGAGGGCACUAAGAGAAAUAAUAGCGAUCGUGUCCAAUGACAAGACCAGAAUAAAAUAUAAAUCUGCAAAAUCUGUCGUUUAAGACCCACGGUGGAGCGCACGUUUCUGAAGCUAAAUCUAGUUCCGUCGAAUGUGCUUUGGUCAGUAGUUACGUCCCCCAUUCGCAUCCACCGGUUCUCUGGUGACUCACAAUGGCUUUGUUCCGGAAACAGACAGAUCAUCAGAUCUGUACCGACUAACGAAACAGAAAAGUGCACUGCUAAGGGCUACAAGGACGCAGACAGUGGAGAAAUGAAUAGAAAAUGGAAUGUAGUAUUACCAGGACUCGACGAUAUGGAACUACACACAAAGAUGACUCGGAGGCUGAGGCCUAUAAUCCUCAUUUUUAUCUGGUGAACAGUGAGGUCACUGAACUUCACAGUUGUUGAAGUGGCUUUAACCUUCUUGGACAAGCUGCUUUUCAGAUUGUGGAUAACAACAUCUUCAGUUCCACGUAAAGUGUCAAUCUGGAAAGAAAAUCAGCGCAAGACCUUGGACAUUCUGACCUGCUGAUCAGCAGAAUCCAAUCUCUUCUUAUCUGACCCCAAUCUCUGAACUUGACCUUUGAGAGAGAACUGGAUAUUCUCUGUAAUAUGGACAUCUGUGCCACGAAACGUCAAUUAUGAACAAAAGUUGUUACCACCCAAACUAUGAGAUUGUAUAUGGGAUAUAAUGCACUACAUGGCCAAAUGUUUGUGGACACCUGGCAUACAACAUCUCAUCCAAAAUUAUGGGCAUUCAUGUGGAGUUGGUCCACCCUUUGCAGCUGUAACAACCUCCACUCUUCUGGGAAGGCUUUAUACUAGAUGCUGGAGCAUUGCUGCAGGGAUUUGCUUCCAUUCAGCCUGAAGAGCAUUAGUGAGGUCAGGCACUGAUUGGGCAAUUAUGCCAGGCUCGCAGUUUGCUUGCAGAUGCCUUGCUUUCCAAUAGAUCCUAAAGGUGUUGAAUGGGAUUGAGGUCAGUGCUCUGGGCAGGCCAGUCAAAUUCUUCCACACAAACCAUUUAUAUAAGGACCUCGGUGUGUGCCCAGGGGCAUUGUCAUUCUGAAACAGGAAAGGGCCUGCCUUCCCCAAAAUGUUGAGGAAGCACAGAAUCUUCUAGAAUGUGAAUGUGUACUGUAGCAUUAAGAUUUGCCUUCACUGGAAUUAAGAGGCCUGGCCCAAACCAUGAAAAACAGCCCCAGACCAAAGUGUCCAGUCA